GGGCGGUGUGCUCUGCGGCGGGGGUGCGUCUUGAAUCCCCUUUCUGGCUUCUCGGCCGGGGAGGCGCGGGUCUCGAUGUGCCCUCGCUUUGGAGUGCCACCCGACGCAUUUCCCUUUGUUCCCGUCCGAAGGACGCCGCGACCGGUUGGUGCGCGACGGCCUCAAGGUCUCGGUCGGCUGGUAGUAUGGGUGGAGGGGGGGGCAACCCCUCUUCCCUCUUAUGGCCCCGGCCGUCCUGGGUUCCGUCGCCCGACCGUGGUCUCUCCGCCUCCUCCCUAGAGAAGCGGGUCUUCUAUUGGAGUCGCGGUCCGUCUCGAAACGGCGUGGGGCGCACGGAAGAUACACCGUGGCCCCGACGUCCGCCAGGGAUCGGUCGCGUCGAUGAUAUCUUAGAUGCCCGUCGGGGGUGCUGGCGGUCUGCGGCGAGUAGGUCGGUCACCCACCCGACCCGUCUUGAAACACGGACCAAGGAGUCUAACAUGUGUGCGAGUCAGUGGGACUCGACUAAGCCCACGGGCGUAAUGAAAGCGAUUUAUUGAGUUGGGAUCCCCUUCCGUGCGAGGAGGGGCGCACCAACGGCCCGCCCUGCCCGAGGGACCCCGAUUGAAUUGAUUAAAAGGGGUGCUUUGGGGGCGGAGUCUGAGCACGCACGUUGGUACCCGAAAGAUGGUGAACUAUGCCCGGGCAGGACGAAGCCGGAGGAAA
This 705-nucleotide ribosomal RNA is filed under the name Pimoa vera. RNAcentral's name for it is "partial large subunit ribosomal RNA". The stretch from base 360 to 705 matches the Rfam family "Eukaryotic large subunit ribosomal RNA", at positions 1 to 861 of the family's 3401-position model. The record is from RNAcentral. Lineage: Eukaryota; Metazoa; Arthropoda; Arachnida; Araneae; Pimoidae.